UGAGUCCAGUAGGAGGAGAAGCCAAACACAGCUUGACUACCAUAUAACCUGAUCAAUACACUCUGAGAGCUACAGACCCAAGUGUCCUAUGAACUGAGCUCAACUUAUUUCUUCUCCUUCUGAAAAGUCCCUGUUCCAAGGGAUAGCUUGGUGGGUAGGGAAGUGGAAGCAAUAUGGUCAGAAAUGGAUAUGAUGGGGAAAACCCAACAGGAACAUGAACAAGAAGACAAAUGUUUCCAAAUAAAAGAGCUCCAGGGAGUGACUGACGGUGGGUAGAUCCUGCUGAGAGGAUCCCUGCUUCCCAUGUCCUUCCUUCUCACACAUUAAUUACCAGGCCUGGUGGAACCAUGUCUAUUCUCAGUCACAAUCAAGGGAGCCCAUUCCUCACCACUCUGCCCCAGGGGUCUUGUCCUGUUUCUUGGGGAAAAUAAUUUGAUUCCUACAAAGUAUUGGAUGUUCCUAAUGGGGGAAUCCAUGAGCUAAUGGUCUCUGGGGAUUCCUAGAAGGCAGCCAUUGUUUUCUGCCUUUGUGUCCCCACCCAGAGGACAGUGCCAGGCUCAUCAGAACCUCCCUUCAGAACCAGAUGGAUAUAGCACUGAACUCUGCAUCACAAAGCCCUAGGAGAAGAAGCACCUCCCACACCACACCACUGGCCCUGCAUCCAUUCUGAUUUCUGUAGCCAUCAUUGCUCCAUCUCACUAUGAAGAAGGGGCUCACCCACCCCGUGUUUCACCACCAAUGCUGACUUCCAGAUCUGCAUGACCUUGAGCAGGUCACAUUUGCUGCCUAAGGUUCAUCUCUAGAAGGAGGAUCAUAGUCUUUGAACUCCUUGGGCAGUUGGGAGGAAGUCCUUUGGCCAAUCUCAAAGCACUACUGUCAAUAGUUGUUAAUACAGAAAUAGGAACGGAUGCUUUCUGGAAGAUGGAGGCAAUAUCCCCCACUCUGCCAACUUUCUAGGGCUGUGAAGAGGAUUGAAUGAGAGGAGGGAUAUGCCUUGAACGUCAGAACCCUGCUAGGGGCUCUUGUCUUUUCAGUCUUCUCUGCUACCAAGGUCUACCAGAAUUUCUGGCCAACCAGAAGCAAAAUGAAGGAAGGACAAUGAAUUUUUGCUCUCUCUUAAUAAAGAUCCCCAAUUGGCAGCCAGAGGCUCUCACUCAA
Molecule: non-coding RNA, 1158 nt
Organism: Monodelphis domestica (gray short-tailed opossum)
Lineage: Eukaryota; Metazoa; Chordata; Mammalia; Didelphimorphia; Didelphidae
Source: RefSeq, a predicted model, not a curated record